UGUGAGAUUCGACAAAAUAAUUAAUAUAAAAUAAUGGGUGUUUUAUGAAAGAAGUUUUGCCUAUGGAAAUUUAUGAAUAAUUUCAUAGAUUUAAAUUGAAAUUGGUCGGGAUAUUAUGAGGGAUUGAAACUUAGUUUAGGAGUUGGAUUUGAUCCAUUAAUCAAGGUUUGCAAUUAACUUAAACCUAGGGCUGUGAUUAAUUAAGCCUAAGUUUGGGAUUAAUGAAACCUAGUAUAAAUACCUAAUGGGUACUGUUCCCUUUCAAUUCUCGCGAUCUUGAACUCCUCUUCUCGCAAUUCUUCGUCGACGCCCCUCCUUUUUGCCCUUCCACGCCGGCGCCACCUUGUUGGGACGAGGGUGCUAUCGAUGGCACAAUCACUUGCUGAUUAGGGCUUUUGAUGAGGGCUGUUGGGUUGAAGGUUCGAAUCGUACCGAAGAUGAGAUUUAUCCUUCAAAUUGCAAGGAAGACAAGUAUUUUCUUCCCUUAAAGGUGUAGGAACCAAAGAGGUGAUAGAGGACGUGGAGGUGGAGUAACUGAGGAGAUGAGAUGGAAUGCAUAGCACACUGUCCAAGGGAAUUAAGAGUAUGUUAAUAAAUGUAGUCUUUUGAUUGUUAUGUGGAUAUGAGUUGUAGACUAUUCGUUUUAUGUUUUCAUAUUUUGUCAUUGGAAGCUUAAGAAAUUUUCAUUCAAAAUAUAUAUGUUGAGAAUUAAAGUUUACAUGUGAUGAAGUUUUCUUUAGACCUAAA
Long non-coding RNA from Zingiber officinale, 747 nucleotides. RefSeq lists it as uncharacterized. The record is from RefSeq and is a predicted model, not a curated record. The transcript is spliced from 2 exons. Lineage: Eukaryota; Viridiplantae; Streptophyta; Magnoliopsida; Zingiberales; Zingiberaceae.